Molecule: ribosomal RNA, 311 nt
Filed under: uncultured bacterium
Lineage: Bacteria
Description: bacterial SSU rRNA
Rfam family: Bacterial small subunit ribosomal RNA
Source: RNAcentral
AUCUUCGGACCUUGCGCUUUGGAGCGCCGAUGUCGGAUUAGCUAGUUGGUGAGGUAAAGGCUCACCAAGGCGACGAUCCGUAGCGGGUCUGAGAGGAUGAUCCGCCACACUGGGACUGAGACACGGCCCAGACUCCUACGGGAGGCAGCAGUGGGGAAUUUUGGACAAUGGGCGCAAGCCUGAUCCAGCCAUGCCGCGUGAGUGAAGAAGGCCUUCGGGUUGUAAAGCUCUUUCGGUGGGGAAGAAAUUGCUUCGGUUAAUACCUGGAGUAGAUGACGGUACCCGCAUAAGAAGCACCGGCUAACUACGUG